ACGCUAAUACCGCAUACGCCCUGAGGGGGAAAGUGGGGGACCGCAAGGCCUCACGCUAUACGAGCGGCCGAUGUCGGAUUAGCUAGUUGGUAGGGUAAAGGCCUACCAAGGCGACGAUCCGUAGCGGGUCUGAGAGGAUGAUCCGCCACACUGGGACUGAGACACGGCCCAGACUCCUACGGGAGGCAGCAGUGGGGAAUUUUGGACAAUGGGCGCAAGCCUGAUCCAGCCAUGCCGCGUGAGUGAAGAAGGCCUUCGGGUUGUAAAGCUCUUUCAGACGGAAAGAAAUCGGUGUGUCUA
RNAcentral lists this ribosomal RNA (300 nucleotides) under uncultured bacterium. RNAcentral describes it as "bacterial SSU rRNA". It matches the Rfam family "Bacterial small subunit ribosomal RNA", at positions 160 to 462 of the family's 1533-position model. The record is from RNAcentral.